CCUACGGGAGGCAGCAGUAGGGAAUCUUCCACAAUGGGCGCAAGCCUGAUGGAGCAACACCGCGUGAGUGAAGAAGGGUUUCGGCUCGUAAAGCUCUGUUGUUGGAGAAGAACGUGCGUGAGAGUAACUGUUCACGCAGUGACGGUAUCCAACCAGAAAGUCACGGCUAACUACGUGCCAGCAGCCGCGGUAAUAUGUAGGUGGCAAGCGUUAUCCGGAUUUAUUGGGCGUAAAGCGAGCGCAGGCGGUUGCUUAGGUCUGAUGUGAAAGCCUUCGGCUUAACCGAAGAAGUGCAUCGGAAACCGGGCAACUUGAGUGCAGAAGAGGACAGUGGAACUCCAUGUGUAGCGGUGGAAUGCGUAGAGAUAUGGAAGAACACCAGUGGCGAAGGCGGCUGUCUGGUCUGCAACUGACGCUGAGGCUCGAAAGCAUGGGUAGCGAACAGGAUUAGAUACCCGGGUAGUC
RNAcentral lists this ribosomal RNA (465 nucleotides) under uncultured bacterium. RNAcentral describes it as "partial 16S ribosomal RNA". It matches the Rfam family "Bacterial small subunit ribosomal RNA", at positions 338 to 795 of the family's 1533-position model. The record is from RNAcentral.